RNAcentral lists this ribosomal RNA (253 nucleotides) under uncultured bacterium. Its description in RNAcentral is "partial 16S ribosomal RNA". It matches the Rfam family "Bacterial small subunit ribosomal RNA", at positions 524 to 776 of the family's 1533-position model. The record is from RNAcentral.
UACGUAGGCAGCGAGCGUUGUUCGGAGUUACUGGGCGUAAAGAGUGCGUAGGCGGUUUUCUAAGUUUGGUGUGAAAUCUCCCGGCUUAACUGGGAGGGUGCGCCGAAAACUGGAAGGCUUGAGUAUGGGAGAGGUAAGCGGAAUUCCUGGUGUAGCGGUGAAAUGCGUAGAUAUCUGGAGGAAUACCGGUGGCGAAGGCGGCAUCCUGGACCGACAUUGACGCUGAACGGCGAAAGCUAGGGGAGCAAACGGG